RNAcentral lists this ribosomal RNA (478 nucleotides) under uncultured bacterium. Its description in RNAcentral is "partial 16S ribosomal RNA". It matches the Rfam family "Bacterial small subunit ribosomal RNA", at positions 28 to 523 of the family's 1533-position model. The record is from RNAcentral.
GACGAACGCUGGCGGCGUGCUUAACACAUGCAAGUCGAACGGUAAGGCCCUUCGGGGUACACGAGUGGCGAGCGGGUGAGUAACACGUGGGUGAUCUGCCCUGCACUUCGGGAUAAGCCUGGGAAACUGGGUCUAAUACCGGAUAGGACCCUGGGAUGCAUGUCCUGGGGUGGAAAGCUUUUGCGGUGUGGGAUGGGCCCGCGGCCUAUCAGCUUGUUGGUGGGGUGAUGGCCUACCAAGGCGACGACGGGUAGCCGGCCCGAGAGGGUGACCGGCCACAGUGGGACUGAGAUACGGCCCAGACUCCUACGGGAGGCAGCGGUGGGGAAUAUUGCACAAUGGGCGCAAGCCUGAUGCAGCGACGCCGCGUGAGGGAUGACGGCCUUCGGGUUGUAAACCUCUUUCAGCACCGACGAAGCGCAAGUGACGGUAGGUGCAGAAGAAGGACCGGCCAACUACGUGCCAGCAGCCGCGGUAA